This 386-nucleotide ribosomal RNA is filed under the name marine copepod environmental sample. Its description in RNAcentral is "SSU rRNA". It matches the Rfam family "Eukaryotic small subunit ribosomal RNA", at positions 587 to 972 of the family's 1831-position model. The record is from RNAcentral. Lineage: Eukaryota; Metazoa; Arthropoda; Copepoda.
AGCUCCAAUAGCGUAUAUUAAAGUUGUUGCGGUUAAAAAGCUCGUAGUUGGAUCUCGGCGGGCCGGGGGUGGUUCGCUCUUCAGCGCUACUGCCCCGCCUUGCCCGCGAGAUUGGGGGAGGCUUCUGGGGGCUCUUCGUUUUGGGACUCGGAGCGCCGUCAGGUUUACUUUGAAAAAAUUAGAGUGCUCAAAGCAGGCUUUUCACGCUUGAAUAUUCGUGCAUGGAAUAAUGGAAUAGGAACUCGUUUCUAUUUUGUUGGUUUUCGGAAAUCGAGUUAAUGAUUAACAGGGACAAUUGGGGGCAUUAGUAUUCAGACGACAGAGGUGAAAUUCUUGGACCGUCUGAAGACUGACUACUGCGAAAGCAUUUGCCAAGAGUGUUUUCA